Oncorhynchus tshawytscha (Chinook salmon) is the source of this 328-nucleotide long non-coding RNA. The record is from Ensembl. NCBI's taxonomy places the organism in Eukaryota, Metazoa, Chordata, Actinopteri, Salmoniformes, Salmonidae.
AUCAGUGCUGUUUUGUAUUGAGGUAUUGUUGUAUCAGUGGUGGUUUGUAUUUAGGUAGUGUUGUAUCAGUGCUGUUUUGUAUUGAGGUAUUGUUGUAUCAGUAGUGUUUUGUAUUGAGGUAGUGUUGUAUCAGUGCUGUUUUGUAUUGAGGUAUUGUUGUAUCAGUAGUGUUUUGUAUUGAGGUAGUGUUGUAUCAGUGGUGUUUUGUAUUGAGGUAUUGUUGUUUCAGUAGUGUCUUGUAUUGUGGUGGUGUUGUAUUGUUGGUGUUUUGUAUUGAGUUGGUGUUGUAUCAGUGGUGUUUUGUAUUGAGGUAGUGUUUUAUUGUUGG